This 465-nucleotide ribosomal RNA is filed under the name Vreelandella stevensii. Its description in RNAcentral is "partial 16S ribosomal RNA". It matches the Rfam family "Bacterial small subunit ribosomal RNA", at positions 338 to 795 of the family's 1533-position model. The record is from RNAcentral. Lineage: Bacteria; Pseudomonadati; Pseudomonadota; Gammaproteobacteria; Oceanospirillales; Halomonadaceae.
CCUACGGGGGGCAGCAGUGGGGAAUAUUGGACAAUGGGGGCAACCCUGAUCCAGCCAUGCCGCGUGUGUGAAGAAGGCCCUCGGGUUGUAAAGCACUUUCAGUGAGGAAGAACGCCUGGUGGUUAAUACCCAUCAGGAAAGACAUCACUCACAGAAGAAGCACCGGCUAACUCCGUGCCAGCAGUCGCGGUAAUACGGAGGGUGCGAGCGUUAAUCGGAAUUACUGGGCGUAAAGCGCGCGUAGGUGGCUUGAUAAGCCGGUUGUGAAAGCCCCGGGCUCAACCUGGGAACGGCAUCCGGAACUGUCAAGCUAGAGUGCAGGAGAGGAAGGUAGAAUUCCCGGUGUAGCGGUGAAAUGCGUAGAGAUCGGGAGGAAUACCAGUGGCGAAGGCGGCCUUCUGGACUGACACUGACACUGAGGUGCGAAAGCGUGGGUAGCAAACAGGAUUAGAUACCCUAGUAGUC